Molecule: long non-coding RNA, 696 nt
Organism: Physeter macrocephalus (sperm whale)
Lineage: Eukaryota; Metazoa; Chordata; Mammalia; Artiodactyla; Physeteridae
Exons: 3
Source: RefSeq, a predicted model, not a curated record
CGCUCUACCCGACGGCGCCGCGCUCAGAGGAAGGUGAGGCGCUGGGCUCGGGCCGAGCCGGGGCCCCUGUCCCCGCCCCCGCCGCGAGGGUGCCCUAGAGCCCCCGUGGACUCGGGGUGUUGCUGCCGGCGCGUCGCGCCAGGGCGGAGUCCGGGGCCAGCGACUGAGAACUGGAUACUUGUCCAUGGGCUUCUGGUGUCCUGUUCAGAAGGCUUCUGAGGUCAAACGCUUUUCAGACUCAGACUCACUAUGAUGUGGGAUUCCAGGGCAAGGCAGUUUUGAAGAAACAAGCUUACAGGCUUAGUUCAUCUGAAGCAGAGGGAAAAUCCCCAACCCCGUCUAACACACAAACUCGGCCCUGGACAACUCCAGAAUGUCUCCGAAGAGCCCCAACUGGCCCCGUCAGGCCCUCUUACCCAGGGCUCGGCUCCCUUGUCCCCAAGAAUUAUAGGCCCAGUUGUACAUAUGACCUGAAGGCGCUGGGGAUGCUCCCGGCUCAGCUUCUCCGACCCUUCCCAACGCUGCGGAGACAAAUCACGCACUCUGCCGUCUCUUCUACCUCCCUCUCCUUCUCUCAAAUUUGUCUCCUUUUUUUCUAAUGAUCCCCAACAGCGUGACUUGUUAUCUGUAUGUAACAGAUAACUCUGCCUGGUUGCAAUGACUCCACGAUCAUUUCUCGGAAGUCUCUGUCCUUCA